Molecule: ribosomal RNA, 495 nt
Filed under: uncultured bacterium
Lineage: Bacteria
Description: partial 16S ribosomal RNA
Rfam family: Bacterial small subunit ribosomal RNA
Source: RNAcentral
GACGAACGCUGGCGGCGUGCCUAAUACAUGCAAGUAGAACGCUGAAGGAGGAGCUUGCUUCUCUGGUUGAGUUGCGAACGGGUGAGUAACGCGUAGGUAACCUGCCUGGUAGCGGGGGAUAACUAUUGGAAACGAUAGCUAAUACCGCAUAACAGUAGAUAUCGCAUGAUAUCUACUUGAAAGGUGCAAUUGCAUCACUACCAGAUGGACCUGCGUUGUAUUAGCUAGUUGGUGAGGUAACGGCUCACCAAGGCGACGAUAUAUAGCCGACCUGAGAGGGUGGUCGGCCACACUGGGACUGAGACACGGCCCAGACUCCUACGGGAGGCAGCAGUAGGGAAUCUUCGGCAAUGGACGGAAGUCUGACCGAGCAACGCCGCGGGAGUGAAGAAGGUUUUCGGAUCGUAAAGCUCUGUUGUAAGAGAAGAACGAGUGUGAGAGUGGAAAGUUCACACUGUGACGGUAUCUUACCAGAAAGGGACGGCUAACUACGUG